CCUACGGGUGGCAGCAGUGGGGAAUAUUGGACAAUGGGGGGAACCCUGAUCCAGCAAUGCCGCGUGUGUGAAGAAGGCCCUCGGGUUGUAAAGCACUUUCAGUGAGGAAGAACGCCUGGUGGUUAAUACCGAUCGGCAAAGACAUCACUCACAGAAGAAGCACCGGCUAACUCCGUGCCAGCAGCCGCGGUAAUACGGAGGGUGCGAGCGUUAAUCGGAAUUACUGGGCGUAAAGCGCGCGUAGGCGGGUUGAUAAGCCGGUUGUGAAAGCCCCGGGCUCAACCUGGGAACGGCAUCCGGAACUGGCAAGCUAGAGUGCAGAAGAGGAAAGUAGAAUUCCCGGUGUAGCGGUGAAAUGCGUAGAGAUCGGGAGGAACACCAGUGGCGAAGGCGGCUUCCUGGACUGACACUGACACUGAGGUGCGAAAGCGUGGGUAGCAAACAGGAUUAGAUACCCGUGUAGUC
RNAcentral lists this ribosomal RNA (465 nucleotides) under Vreelandella stevensii. Its description in RNAcentral is "partial 16S ribosomal RNA". It matches the Rfam family "Bacterial small subunit ribosomal RNA", at positions 338 to 795 of the family's 1533-position model. The record is from RNAcentral. Lineage: Bacteria; Pseudomonadati; Pseudomonadota; Gammaproteobacteria; Oceanospirillales; Halomonadaceae.